GGGGAAUUAGCUCAAGUGGUAGAGCGCUCGCUUAGCAUGUGAGAGGCAGCGGGAUUGAUGCCCGCAUUCUCCA
Molecule: transfer RNA, 73 nt
Filed under: Corvus brachyrhynchos (American crow)
Lineage: Eukaryota; Metazoa; Chordata; Aves; Passeriformes; Corvidae
Also listed under: 2 other names
Rfam family: tRNA
About the family: Transfer RNA (tRNA) molecules are approximately 80 nucleotides in length.
Source: Rfam by way of RNAcentral